CCUACGGGAGGCAGCAGUGAGGAAUAUUGGACAAUGGGCGCAAGCCUGAUCCAGCCAUGCCGCGUGCAGGAAGAAGCAUCUAUGGUGUGUAAACUGCUUUUGUACAGGAAGAAACACUCCCUCGUGAGGGAGCUUGACGGUACUGUAAGAAUAAGGACCGGCUAACUCCGUGCCAGCAGCCGCGGUAAUACGGAGGGUCCGAGCGUUAUCCGGAAUCAUUGGGUUUAAAGGGUCCGUAGGCGGUUUAAUAAGUCAGUGGUGAAAUCUGGUCGCUCAACGAUCAAACGGCCAUUGAUACUGUUAGACUUGAAUUAUAAGGAAGUAACUAGAAUAUGUAGUGUAGCGGUGAAAUGCUUAGAUAUUACAUGGAAUACCAAUUGCGAAGGCAGGUUACUACUUAUGGAUUGACGCUGAUGGACGAAAGCGUGGGGAGCGAACAGGAUUAGAUACCCUGGUAGUCCACGCCGUAAACGAUGGAUACUAGCUGUUCGGAGCAAUCUGAGUGGCUAAGCGAAAGUGAUAAGUAUCCCACCUGGGGAGUACGUUCGCAGAAUGAAACUNAAAUGAAAUUGACCGGNUGAGACGAGCGAGACGACGACGAGGGAGGAGG
Molecule: ribosomal RNA, 610 nt
Filed under: uncultured bacterium
Lineage: Bacteria
Description: bacterial SSU rRNA
Rfam family: Bacterial small subunit ribosomal RNA
Source: RNAcentral